AAGCCCGUCGAGCGGAAACGACANCAUUGAAUCUUCGGAGGAUNNGUUGGGCGUCGAGCGGCGGACGGGUGAGUAAUGCCUAGGAAAUUGCCUUGAUGUGGGGGAUAACCAUUGGAAACGAUGGCUAAUACCGCAUAAUGCCUACGGGCCAAAGAGGGGGAUCUUCGGACCUCUCGCGUCAAGAUAUGCCUAGGUGGGAUUAGCUAGUUGGUGAGGUAAUGGCUCACCAAGGCGACGAUCCCUAGCUGGUCUGAGAGGAUGAUCAGCCACACUGGAACUGAGACACGGUCCAGACUCCUACGGGAGGCAGCAGUGGGGAAUAUUGCACAAUGGGCGAAAGCCUGAUGCAGCCAUGCCGCGUGUAUGAAGAAGGCCUUCGGGUUGUAAAGUACUUUCAGUUGUGAGGAAGGGGGUAACGUUAAUAGCGNUAUCUCUUGACGUUAGCAACAGAAGAAGCACCGGCUAACUCCGUGCCAGCAGCCGCGGUAAUACGGAGGGUGCGAGCUGUUAAUUGGAAUUACUGGGCGCAAAGCCGCAUGCCGGUGGUUCAUUAAGUCAGAUUGUGAAAAGCCCGGGGCUCAACCUCGGAACUGCAUUUGAAACUGGUGAACUAGAGUGCUGUAGAGGGGGGUAGAAUUUCAGGUGUAGCGGUGAAAUGCGUAGAGAUCUGAAGGAAUACCAGUGGCGAAGGCGGCCCCCUGGACAGACACUGACACUCAGAUGCGAAAGCGUGGGGAGCAAACAGGAUUAGAUACCCUGGUAGUCCACGCCGUAAACGAUGUCUACUUGGAGGUUGUGGCCUUGAGCCGUGGCUUUCGGAGCUAACGCGUUAAGUAGACCGCCUGGGGAGUACGGUCGCAAGAUUAAAACUCAAAUGAAUUGACGGGGGCCCGCACAAGCGGUGGAGCAUGUGGUUUAAUUCGAUGCAACGCGAAGAACCUUACCUACUCUUGACAUCCAGAGAAGCCAGCGGAGACGCAGGUGUGCCUUCGGGAACUCUGAGACAGGUGCUGCAUGGCUGUCGUCAGCUCGUGUUGUGAAAUGUUGGGUUAAGUCCCGCAACGAGCGCAACCCUUAUCCUUGUUUGCCAGCGAGUAAUGUCGGGAACUCCAGGGAGACUGCCGGUGAUAAACCGGGAGGAAGGUGGGGACGACGUCAAGUCUUCAUGGCCCUUACGAGUAAGGGCUACACACGUGCCUACAAUGGCGCAUUACAGAAGGGCAGCAAGCUAGCCGAU
Molecule: ribosomal RNA, 1237 nt
Filed under: Vibrio sp. SOMBO17
Lineage: Bacteria; Pseudomonadati; Pseudomonadota; Gammaproteobacteria; Vibrionales; Vibrionaceae
Description: bacterial SSU rRNA
Rfam family: Bacterial small subunit ribosomal RNA
Source: RNAcentral